UACGUAGGGUGCGAGCGUUAAUCGGAAUUACUGGGCGUAAAGCGUACGCAGGCGGCUUUGCAAGACAGGUGUGAAAUCCCCGGGCCUAACCUGGGAACUGCAUUUGUGACUGCAUGGCUAGAGUUUGUCAGAGGGGGGUGGAAUUCCACGUGUAGCAGUGAAAUGCGUAGAGAUGUGGAGGAAUACCGAUGGCGAAGGCAGCCCCCUGGGAUAACACUGACGCUCAUGCACGAAAGCGUGGGGAGCAAACAGG
This 253-nucleotide ribosomal RNA is filed under the name uncultured bacterium. Its description in RNAcentral is "partial 16S ribosomal RNA". It matches the Rfam family "Bacterial small subunit ribosomal RNA", at positions 524 to 776 of the family's 1533-position model. The record is from RNAcentral.